This 460-nucleotide ribosomal RNA is filed under the name uncultured bacterium. RNAcentral describes it as "partial 16S ribosomal RNA". It matches the Rfam family "Bacterial small subunit ribosomal RNA", at positions 338 to 795 of the family's 1533-position model. The record is from RNAcentral.
CCUACGGGUGGCAGCAGUGAGGAAUAUUGGUCAAUGGACGAGAGUCUGAACCAGCCAAGUAGCGUGAAGGAUGACUGCCCUAUGGGUUGUAAACUUCUUUUAUAAAGGAAUAAAACGAGGCACGUGUGCCUUUUUGCAUGUACUUUAUGAAUAAGGAUCGGCUAACUCCGUGCCAGCAGCCGCGGUAAUAAGGAGGAUCCGAGCGUUAUCCGGAUUUAUUGGGUUUAAAGGGAGCGUAGAUGGGUUGUUAAGUCAGUUGUGAAAGUUUGCGGCUCAACCGUAAAAUUGCAAUUGAUACUGGCAGUCGUGAGUACAGUUGAGGUAGGCGGAAUUCGUGGUGUAGCGGUGAAAUGCUUAGAUAUCACGAAGAACCCCGAUUGCGAAGGCAGCUUACUAAACUGUGACUGACAUUGAUGCUCGAAAGUGUGGGUAUCAAACAGGAUUAGAUACCCGAGUAGUC